This 855-nucleotide long non-coding RNA is filed under the name Dasypus novemcinctus (nine-banded armadillo). RNAcentral describes it as "lncRNA (ENSDNOG00000052851.1)". The record is from RNAcentral. Lineage: Eukaryota; Metazoa; Chordata; Mammalia; Cingulata; Dasypodidae.
CUGUCCUGUGCCCCCGAGGGCUGCCAGAGAGUAAGGAUUCUUUUUUGCUUGUUUCAGGGUUCAUAGUGGCGUAAUGCGCGCAGACUCCUGCGAGUUCCCCUAAGUUCUUAGAGGACUGCUUUGCCUUUUGAAUCAGAGAGUUGCAAAGUUCGAUAAAGAAUGGCCCUUGUGGAUAAGCACAAAGUCAAGCGACAGCGAUUGGACAGAAUUUGUGAAGUGGCAUGGCAGCGGGCCAGUUCCAGUGAAGUCUGCAGAGUCGGAAGUCUGCCAGCAAAUAAAUUUCUCUGUCAAUAAUUUAUCCCAAAGCAGUAGUUUUCCUCCUCGUUCCUUAUUGCCCAUUCAGUGUGUCAUUGUCUCCCUCCCCCAUGGGGGGGGUGGCAGAGGACAGGUACUUAGCUUCCUUCUCUGCUAGCUUUUCAACCUAUAUCCGGGGCAUUUUGAGUGGUAGUUUUCAUGGAACCAACAGCCGGGCUUGGAUCUAUUGAAAGCAGCCCAAAACUAGAUGGUGUCUCUACAAGACCACUCUGGCUGCUUCUCCUUCGCCCCUGCAUCCCCUGGGCGGGAAGGCCACUUGACCCCCUGAGAGGAUAACAUUUACAUUUGAGAAAAGUACCCCGAGUCUGCACUGACCCAAGUGCAGGACCUGGACCUUACGUCAGGCCAGCCCGUCCCCGGAGUGCCGCGCUGGAAGAUGGUGCGCUUUUCACCCAGCAGCGCCGUCCUCAGCAACAGAGCCUGCAGGAAUGCGUCCUGGACUUGGUGAUUGCAUAACUGAAGGGACGGGGGUGUCGGCGCGUCUGCAGUAGGUUUUUAGGGGUCUGCUUUUAUUUCUACAUGCUUUGACUCUCUUCAUCC